AUGUGACCCUUAUCUCAAUAUUUAGAGUAAACACUCUGAAUGCUACCCACACACCAAACCAUGGGCAGCCAGACAGCUAAACUGGACUUCUUGUGACCUUAUCUCUGUUAACAGUAGCUGUUAACAAUAACCUAACAAUAGUUAACAAUCAAUAGAGUGAUUGGUAUGACCUCGGCCUUUCUCUAAAAUAACCUUCCGAAUGAACAUAUUAUGAAUUAUAGAAAGAAAACGAGAAAUGCAAAUUGCACAGUCAACCAAUUAAACGAAAAUGUUAGUCGGUAUAUGUCAGAAACGGCCAUCUGGCGUUUGCCUUUUCGCGCUCUAAAGAAAACGUCUGCGACGUUUUUCAUCAUACUAAAUGUUACAGAAUUGUUGAACUCGGCGUCGCUGGCGCCUAUUGUUUAGCCAGUCUUUUUCGAGUUUCCACUGCAUGAACGAAGAAAUGGGCUGUCGACGUUUCUUGGGAAGCAGGAAGACCUAUAUCUCUUCGAAGGCUGUCCUUUUUGGCACUUUUUCAUCGCGAUCAGUUAUGAAGACGUAGUCACCGAAAACAGUGUCACUGUUUAUCCCGAAGUGUACCAAGCCCGUGACGAUGGCUCAGAUAAGGUCGUUAUAAUUCAAGGCGACAACAAGCUUAAGCUGAAGAAAGUAUCAGUGGUAGCAGAGAGACUGCUAAUCCGAGAAAUAACCGAAAAUGGCGUCGCUGAAAGAUAUGUUGAUGGCACCUACUACGACAGGUUUCUUUACCAAGAUAGAGAUAAACAAGCCACACUGCUUCUGAAGCCCAAAAACUCUGGAGGCUAUAAUUUGCAUGGCUUCCUCAAUUUCACUCAUCAAAUUGAGCCCACUGGAAAUGAAGGGACGACACGGGAAUUGGCAGCGCAUAUAAUAAAGGAGGUCAAAUCUACUCACAAUGCCAAGCUGAUUAUAG
This is a long non-coding RNA of Dermacentor silvarum, 931 nucleotides long. RefSeq lists it as uncharacterized. The record is from RefSeq and is a predicted model, not a curated record. The transcript has 4 exons. Lineage: Eukaryota; Metazoa; Arthropoda; Arachnida; Ixodida; Ixodidae.